AGACUCUCUGUCCAGAAGAAGCCCAGAUUUCUUCCCGCCAAGACCUGAGGAAGAUAAGGACAUCAACAUGAAACAAGACCUAUCUGAAGAGAUGUCCAUCGACGAAAAAGCAGACUAUUGUGAUGGUGCGCAAUCAAAGGAAACUUAAGUACCUUAAGACAGUGUGGACUUGCUGGAAUUCAAGGUGUAGUCUUAAAAAAUGAAUGAAGUUCUGAGUGACAUAAGUGGAUAAUUUUUAAAAAUCAUUGUGGUACAGACCUGCAGUAGGAGUUUAAAUUGAAUGAAUGUCACUAUACACACAUACAAUGACAUUAAAAGCAGCUCCUCCAGUGCACUAGCUCACCCCCUUUAGUUGAUAUUAGCUAAACUUAUAAAUCCCAGUCAGUUUUAUUUCAUCUCAUUCUAUGCUUCUGUUUAUCUUACUAUGUUAAAUGUCUUACUUUGUCACCUUUUGUACAUCUUGCUUGCAAAUUUUAAUAAAAAAUUAAUGCUAUCAG
Paramormyrops kingsleyae is the source of this 497-nucleotide non-coding RNA. NCBI's taxonomy places the organism in Eukaryota, Metazoa, Chordata, Actinopteri, Osteoglossiformes, Mormyridae. The record is from RefSeq and is a predicted model, not a curated record.